UAAGGAAUAUUGGACAAUGGAGGCAACUCUGAUCCAGCCAUGCCGCGUGAAGGAAUAAGGCCCUAUGGGUUGUAAACUUCUUUUAGACGGGACAAAACCCCUUUACGUGUAAAGGGUUGAUGGUACUGUCAGAAUAAGCAUCGGCUAACUUCGUGCCAGCAGCCGCGGUAAUACGAAGGAUGCAAACGUUAUCCGGAAUUAUUGGGUUUAAAGGGUGCGUAGGCGGACUAAUAAGUCAGUGGUGAAAGCCUGCAGCUUAACUGCAGAAUUGCCACUGAUACUGUUAGUCUUGAGUACAGUUGAGGUAGGCGGAAUGUGUCAUGUAGCGGUGAAAUGCUUAGGUAUGACACAGAACACCGAUUGCGAAGGCAGCUUGCUAAGCUGUAACUGACGCUGAGGCACGAAAGCGUGGGGAGCAAACA
Molecule: ribosomal RNA, 422 nt
Filed under: uncultured bacterium
Lineage: Bacteria
Description: bacterial SSU rRNA
Rfam family: Bacterial small subunit ribosomal RNA
Source: RNAcentral